UGCCAGCAGCCGCGGUAAUACGGAGGGGGCAAGCGUUGUUCGGAAUUACUGGGCGUAAAGGGCGCGUAGGCGGAUAUUCAAGUCAGGGGUGAAAGGCCUGGGCUCAACCUGGGAACUGCCUUUGAAACUGGAUAUCUAGAGACCGGAAGAGGAUAGCGGAAUUCCCAGUGUAGAGGUGAAAUUCGUAGAUAUUGGGAAGAACACCAGUGGCGAAGGCGGCUAUCUGGUCCGGGUCUGACGCUGAGGCGCGAAAGCGUGGGGAGCAAACAGGAUUAGAUA
This 279-nucleotide ribosomal RNA is filed under the name uncultured bacterium. RNAcentral's name for it is "partial 16S ribosomal RNA". It matches the Rfam family "Bacterial small subunit ribosomal RNA", at positions 506 to 784 of the family's 1533-position model. The record is from RNAcentral.